GCCUUUGUAGUGAAACGGAUUAUCACAUCGACCUUCUAAGUCGAGAUUUCUGGUUCGAGUCCAGACUGAGGUA
RNAcentral lists this transfer RNA (73 nucleotides) under Chloropicon laureae. RNAcentral describes it as "tRNA-Arg". It matches the Rfam family "tRNA". From Rfam's summary of the family: Transfer RNA (tRNA) molecules are approximately 80 nucleotides in length. Lineage: Eukaryota; Viridiplantae; Chlorophyta; Chloropicophyceae; Chloropicales; Chloropicaceae. The record is from RNAcentral. RNAcentral also lists the same sequence under 3 other names.